RNAcentral lists this ribosomal RNA (494 nucleotides) under uncultured bacterium. RNAcentral's name for it is "bacterial SSU rRNA". It matches the Rfam family "Bacterial small subunit ribosomal RNA", at positions 29 to 494 of the family's 1533-position model. The record is from RNAcentral.
AACUAACGCUGGCGGCGUGCCUAACACAUGCAAGUCGAACGAGAAAGUUGGCUUCGGCCGAUGAGUAAAGUGGCGCACGGGUGAGUAACGCGUGGAUAAUCUGCCCUUUAGUUUGGAAUAACGUACCGAAAGGUGCGCUAAUACCGGAUAAUACUGAAUGACUACUGUCGUUUAGUCAAAGAAGGCUUCUGUUUACAUGCUUUUGCUGAAGGAUGAGUCCGCGUACCAUUAGCUAGUUGGUAGGGUAAUGGCCUACCAAGGCGACGAUGGUUAGCUGGUCUGAGAGGAUGAUCAGCCACACUGGAACUGAGACACGGUCCAGACUCCGUACGGGAGGCAGCAGUGAGGAAUAUUGCGCAAUGGGGGCAACCCGUGACGCAGCAACGCCGCGUGAGUGAGGAAGGUUUUCGGACCGUAAAGCUCUGUCGAGCGGGAAGAAAUGCAUGGUGGCUAAUAUCCAUCAUGCUUGACGGUACCGACGUAAAGGAAGCACC